UACAGAGGGGGCGAGCGUUGUUCGGAAUUACUGGGCGUAAAGGGCGCGUAGGCGGCCCGCUAAGUCGAACGUGAAAUCCCCAGGCUCAACCUGGGAACUGCGUCCGAUACUGGCAGGCUUGAAUCCGGGAGAGGGAUGUGGAAUUCCAGGUGUAGCGGUGAAAUGCGCAGAUAUCAGGAGGAACACCAAUGGCGAAGGCAGCUCGCUGGGACGGUACUGACGCUGAGACGCGAAAGCGUGGGGAGCAAACAGG
Molecule: ribosomal RNA, 253 nt
Filed under: uncultured bacterium
Lineage: Bacteria
Description: partial 16S ribosomal RNA
Rfam family: Bacterial small subunit ribosomal RNA
Source: RNAcentral